AAUCUUGCGCAAUGGGCGAAAGCCUGACGCAGCGACGCCGCGUGAGCGAUGAAGGCCUUCGGGUCGUAAAGCUCUGUCCUCAGGGAAGAAGGAAGUGACGGUACCUGAGGAGGAAGCCCCGGCUAACUACGUGCCAUCAGCCGCGGUAAUACGCAGGGGGCGCGCGUUGUCCGGAAUUAUUGGGCGUAAAGAGCUCGUAGGCGGCUUGUCGCGUCUGCUGUGAAAUCCCGGAGCUCAACUCCGGGCUUGCAGUGGGUACGGGCAGGCUAGAGUGCGGUAGGGGAGAUUGGAACUCCUGGUGUAGCGGUGGAAUGCGCAGAUAUCAGGAAGAACACCGAUGGCGAAGGCAGAUCUCUGGGCCGCUACUGACGCUGAGGAGCGAAAGCAUGGGGAGCAAACA
RNAcentral lists this ribosomal RNA (400 nucleotides) under uncultured bacterium. RNAcentral's name for it is "partial 16S ribosomal RNA". It matches the Rfam family "Bacterial small subunit ribosomal RNA", at positions 360 to 774 of the family's 1533-position model. The record is from RNAcentral.